AGAAAAGCUAAAUGAGCUGUAACAAGGAAAAUUCACAGACCAACCUUGAAGGUUCUCAGAACUAAUUUUAAGCAUUCACUUAUAUUGUGAGAAAUGCUCCUGAGAAACUAAAAAGGGUGGUCAGAACAGCUUCUGCUUGUCUAGCUCCUUUGCUCAUUAAUCAGACCGAUAUGUAACCAUAAGCGUUGUUUCUGAGACUGAGGUCUGGUAUAUAAAGCAGUCUAGCAUGUAACAAGUUAAGGAUCCUGAUAAUAAAGCAAGAAUACUCUUGGCAAUUUGUCUCCUGCGUUUCUGCUGCACUUGAGAGGACCUGCAAAAUGCGUACAACAGUUUUGGCGGGUUGUCCUUCUCUUCUCAAGUUUGGCGAUUGGACUUACCGCUGCAGGACUACACUGCUAGCCGGCAAUUUGGUGGUGCGAUCAGUAGCGGUGAUUAGCCGACUGUCAAUAAGGCAGCACGGGACGCAGAUCCAACCAGUUGUCACAGAAGAAGUUCGAUAUCAGCACAUCUUCUGGGAAGAUGGGAAUCAGCUGAGUAAAUCUCUACCCUGUGGUCACAUGCAUGAUUGAACUGAAACCUUACCAUGAUUUGCUCCAGGACAAAACCAAAUACCCUACAACUUAUUGAAGAUUAGGUCCAAGAAAUAUGUUUAUUAGUACAAGGACUUUAAAAGUCUUGCUUUACAAGAAAACGUUGUACAUGUUCAAACAACACCGAAGUAUGAAUGGUAAAUAUUUGAAAUUUAUAUUCAUGUUACAGUCUUUGCUAUGCUGCUUGCACACUGAAAAUGGAAUUGUAACACAAACCACUGAAUUUGUAUUCAGUUUUCAGUUCAAUUUUCAACUGGAGCCAGUUCAAUGCUGAAUUAAUUCUACUUGUUUUUAUGUGUGCAAGUUCCAUCAGUCUGAACAAUAAUUUUUAUAUAUAGCUAAUGUAGUUUCUAUUUCAUUGAAUGUACUGCAUCUGCAUGGAAAAUGGAACAGUGACUCCCAUGUUAUGUGUUAUAGUUGUAUGUAUAAUUUUGUUUAUUUUCUUACUGUAAUCUUUGACAAACGUUUUGUGCAGCUUGUUGUCAUUAUUACAAAGAUCACUGUCACAAAAAUUAUUUUGUCCACAGAGGGCCUACAAAGGUCUUAAUAUUUAUUUAUUUAUUUGCAUUUUUAUCCUACCCUAUAUCUGAAGGUCUCAGAGCAGGUUACCACAAUUAAAACAGCAGCAACAACAACAAAAACAACCCUCAUAAAAGGCAUGCAAUAAAACAGUAGUCUGAAAGUAGGGAGGGAAAGCU
This 1288-nucleotide long non-coding RNA is filed under the name Salvator merianae (Argentine black and white tegu). RNAcentral's name for it is "lncRNA (ENSSMRG00000017003.1)". The record is from RNAcentral. Lineage: Eukaryota; Metazoa; Chordata; Lepidosauria; Squamata; Teiidae.